GGGGAGGAGGCAUGAUUUAAUCUUACAACAAAUCCAGUAAGCAAAUCUUUAUAAAUUUUUGGGGGGGAGGGGUCAGCUCUGUUUCCACAGUUUAUUGGUGUUUACUCUGAUGUCUGUAUUAAUUUUGAGUGAGUAACAUCAGUGUGUGUCAGCAGGGCCAGCCGUUGGGGUGUACAAGCUGUGCGGUCACGCAGGGUGCCAUGACAACAGAGGUUGGGGACACCAGCAUAUUCAAUUUAAACGAGUCGCUGGUGGUCCACUGGUGCGCACCAGUAGUAAGUGCAGUCAGAUUAUAUCCUCUCCCUCGUGGUUCCGGCGCUUAGUUAGAGAGUCAGAGCACAGGCUCAGAGAUUCUCAGCCUGCACUCUGACAACAUUGAAAGUCAGAGCCGUGAAGGAGUGGCUAUGGCAAAGAGCUACUGAUUAGCAUAACAUCAAUAUCCAUUAUAAAACCAGGAAA
Non-coding RNA from Pelobates cultripes (western spadefoot toad), 459 nucleotides. The record is from the annotation of a GenBank genome assembly. NCBI's taxonomy places the organism in Eukaryota, Metazoa, Chordata, Amphibia, Anura, Pelobatidae.